Molecule: long non-coding RNA, 838 nt
Filed under: Homo sapiens (human)
Lineage: Eukaryota; Metazoa; Chordata; Mammalia; Primates; Hominidae
Description: HSALNT0375315
Source: RNAcentral
AACGGCGUCCCAGCUGCUCGCAAACCAACUGCUCGAUUCUAUUCACUGUCGAGUAGGAACAAAAAAGUGGCUAUUUAUUAGAAUACUUGUUUGGUAUUGUUCCGCGCCACACAAAAGGCGUUUCAUUAUGUGGAGGGAUCUCCUUUUUCCAGAGAGAAACAAUAACUUGAAAUUGUCUUUAAAGUCUUUUCUAUCAAUAAUAAAUUUCAUUUUCUUGUCUCUCUCGCCUGCAGUGUGUGUGCGCGCGCGCGAGGCGAGGAGAGAGGCGCGUGUGCGAGUGAGUGUGCUAGCGGGGGUGCGCGUGUGAGUGUGCGCGUGUGUGUGCGUGCGCGUGGCACCGGCGCCCGCGGCUACGGGGCUGGCGCUGCCGGAGCCGGGCCGGACCGGGGUCCGAGAUCUGCGUCGCGCUGGGCACGCUGGCCACCCGGUCCGGAAUGAGUCGGGGCUCCGGGAGGUGCCCGUGGGCAGAGCGUUAGGGGCGCGGCCGUGCCGGACCCGCCCUGGGGACCCGCUGGAGCUGGAGGAGGAACUAACUGACUCCAAGCUGCUGUCCCCUCUCUGCCGCAUCUGAGGCUGGGAAAACUUCCUAGGAGAAGGCAAGAGAAAGCCACCAGACCAGAGCCGAGGACUAAACUUUAAGGUCGAAGACGGCAGAGGGGCAGGUUCUCCCCUGCACACCCCAAGGCCUCUCCUGCACCCGCGAGGCCUUCCUUGAGCGCCCAGGCCCCCGAAAUGCCUGCCCUCCUUCUGACAAAAGGAGGGGGUAGGAUGUGAAGGGGUAGUGCAACCAACAAUGUUUUUGUAAACACAACAACAGGGAAAUACAUGGAGGAAAUCU